GUCCCGUGUGGUGCAGUGGUUAUCGCACCUGCCUAUUAAGCAGGAGAACCCGGGUUCGAAUCCCGGUACGGUUCACA
Schistocerca americana (American grasshopper) is the source of this 77-nucleotide non-coding RNA. Lineage: Eukaryota; Metazoa; Arthropoda; Insecta; Orthoptera; Acrididae. The record is from the annotation of a RefSeq genome assembly.